UACGUAGGGUGCGAGCGUUAAUCGGAAUUACUGGGCGUAAAGGGUGCGCAGGCGGCUUCGCAAGUCAGACGUGAAAUCCCCGAGCUUAACUUGGGAAUUGCGUUUGAAACUACGAGGCUAGAGUGUGGCAGAGGGAGGUGGAAUUCCACGUGUAGCGGUGAAAUGCGUAGAUAUGUGGAGGAACACCGAUGGCGAAGGCAGCCUCCUGGGCUGACACUGACGCUCAUGCACGAAAGCGUGGGGAGCAAACAGG
This 253-nucleotide ribosomal RNA is filed under the name uncultured bacterium. RNAcentral's name for it is "partial 16S ribosomal RNA". It matches the Rfam family "Bacterial small subunit ribosomal RNA", at positions 524 to 776 of the family's 1533-position model. The record is from RNAcentral.